This 253-nucleotide ribosomal RNA is filed under the name uncultured bacterium. RNAcentral's name for it is "partial 16S ribosomal RNA". It matches the Rfam family "Bacterial small subunit ribosomal RNA", at positions 524 to 776 of the family's 1533-position model. The record is from RNAcentral.
UACGAAGGGGGCUAGCGUUGCUCGGAAUUACUGGGCGUAAAGGGAGCGUAGGCGGACAUUUAAGUCAGGGGUGAAAUCCCGGGGCUCAACCUCGGAAUUGCCUUUGAUACUGGGUGUCUUGAGUGUGGGAGAGGUAUGUGGAACUCCGAGUGUAGAGGUGAAAUUCGUAGAUAUUCGGAAGAACACCAGUGGCGAAGGCGACAUACUGGCCCAUUACUGACGCUGAGGCUCGAAAGCGUGGGGAGCAAACAGG